CACUGUAAACCCAACGAUUGGGGCCUAAAUGCCUGUGCGCCUCCCAGCUACGGCUUCCUUUGAGUGACAAAGUCCGAUCUCGAAGGCCGUGCUUUUGCAACCUGCAUGCACCUGAAGGAAUUGCGAAUCUUGAAGGCAACAUCCGCUUCGUUUUUAUUAUAUAUACACUUCCUUAAACAUCGUAUCACAAAGUACAAUAUACACACUUUUGGACCCAACAAAUCUAUUAAAGGACCCUACCAAAUGUUAUUAGGAAAAAACACGCAAUUUUUUUCAUUUAAGAUACAUUUUUCUAAAAACCGCAGAGUGGCGCUACGGCAGUAUUUGUUUGGUCGACACACCACGUUGGUUGUAGUGAAUGCUCUUUGCAGUAAGGUGGUAUUUGAGUUAUAUUUUAGAAGUGCCUAGACAAAAUGUGCUCCUUGUCGUGUGCAGUAACCAUCCCAAACCCUUCGGACUCGUGUAACGCCAUUAGUUCGCCGUGUAUUUCGAGCGAUCCACCAGUGUCGACAGUGAGUGCCCUAGUACAGCGCCCGUCCGAGCUGCCUUUGUUCUGCCGAGCUGCCUGCCCGCGCUCUCGUGAAAACGUCUGGUACUGGGGCUUCGAAUCGUAGUGUAUGGAAGACUGUUGAAGGUUGUGCUUUUGUGGAGCUGGAGUUCAUCGGAAGCUCUACAGUGCUUGCGCCAGAGAAACGUCGGUGCCUCUGUACCUGUUAGACGAAGGAGCGUUUGCCAAGUCUUGAAAGGUAGACAUCGGUGACGGUGUAUAUGUUGAAAAGGGCCUGCUGAAGAGGCUGUGCCUGGAUGCUAACAACUCAGGCUUUCACUUUGCGGAGGGCCUCCUUAAAACUCCUUUUUCAAUAGAAGACGUUGAAGGGAGGUCCUUCUUUGGGCGGCUGUCAAAUGCCUUCCACAGAAGGAUCCGUUGGAUUCCAAGGUCAACACCAUACUAGACUACACAACGCAACAUUUCAGCCUACUUCCAGGGCAGCUGGAGAACUCGUCCUCAUUACUAGCCCGGGGAUAUUAAAUGGAUGUGUUCAAGCACAAA
RNAcentral lists this long non-coding RNA (1051 nucleotides) under Dermacentor andersoni. RNAcentral's name for it is "uncharacterized LOC126522796". The record is from RNAcentral. Lineage: Eukaryota; Metazoa; Arthropoda; Arachnida; Ixodida; Ixodidae.